Molecule: ribosomal RNA, 461 nt
Filed under: Streptococcus mitis
Lineage: Bacteria; Bacillati; Bacillota; Bacilli; Lactobacillales; Streptococcaceae
Description: bacterial SSU rRNA
Rfam family: Bacterial small subunit ribosomal RNA
Source: RNAcentral
GACGAACGCGGCGGCGUGCCUAAUACAUGCAAGUAGAACGCUGAAGGAGGAGCUUGCUUCUCUGGAUGAGUUGCGAACGGGUGAGUAACGCCUAGGUAACCUGCCUGGUAGCGGGGGAUAACUAUUGGAAACGAUAGCUAAUACCGCAUAAUAGCAGUUAUUGCAUGAUAACUGUUUGAAAGGUGCAAUUGCAUCACUACCAGAUGGACCUGCGUUGUAUUAGCUAGUUGGUGGGGUAACGACUCACCAAGGCGACGAUACAUAGCCGACCUGAGAGGGUGAUCGGCCACACUGGGACUGAGACACGGCCCAGACUCCUACGGGAGGCAGCAGUAGGGAAUCUUCGGCAAUGGACGGAAGUCUGACCGAGCAACGCCGCGUGAGUGAAGAAGGUUUUCGGAUCGUAAAGCUCUGUUGUAAGAGAAGAACGAGUGUGAGAGUGGAAAGUUCACACUGUGACG